UACGUAGGGGGCUAGCGUUGUCCGGAAUCAUUGGGCGUAAAGAGCGUGUAGGCGGUCCGGUAAGUCCGUUGUGAAAGUCAGGGGCUCAACCCUUGAAUGCCGGCGGAUACUGUCGGGCUAGAGUCCGGAAGAGGCGAGUGGAAUUCCCGGUGUAGCGGUGAAAUGCGCAGAUAUCGGGAGGAACACCUAUGGCGAAGGCGGUGUUCUGGGCCUGUACUGACGCUGAUGCGCGAAAGCGUGGGGAGCGAACAGG
RNAcentral lists this ribosomal RNA (253 nucleotides) under uncultured bacterium. Its description in RNAcentral is "partial 16S ribosomal RNA". It matches the Rfam family "Bacterial small subunit ribosomal RNA", at positions 524 to 776 of the family's 1533-position model. The record is from RNAcentral.